GAAACAGGUGCUAAUACCGUAUAACACUAUUUUCCGCAUGGAAGAAAGUUGAAAGGCGCUUUUGCGCCACUGAUGGAUGGACCCGCGGUGCAUUAGCUAGUUGGUGAGGUAACGGCUCACCAAGGCCACGAUGCAUAGCCGACCUGAGAGGGUGAUCGGCCACACUGGGACUGAGACACGGCCCAGACUCCUACGGGAGGCAGCAGUAGGGAAUCUUCGGCAAUGGACGAAAGUCUGACCGAGCAACGCCGCGUGAGUGAAGAAGGUUUUCGGAUCGUAAAACUCUGUUGUUAGAGAAGAACAAGGAUGAGAGUAAAACGUUCAUCCCUUGACGGUAUCUAACCAGAAAGCCACGGCUAACUACGUGCCAGCAGCCGCGGUAAUACGUAGGUGGCAAGCGUUGUCCGGAUUUAUUGGGCGUAAAGCGAGCGCAGGCGGUUUCUUAAGUCUGAUGUGAAAGCCCCCGGCUCAACCGGGGAGGGUCAUUGGAAACUGGGAGACUUGAGUGCAGAAGAGGAGAGUGGAAUUCCAUGUGUAGCGGUGAAAUGCGUAGAUAUAUGGAGGAACACCAGUGGCGAAGGCGGCUCUCUGGUCUGUAACUGACGCUGAGGCUCGAAAGCGUGGGGAGCGAACAGGAUUAGAUACCCUGGUAGUCC
Molecule: ribosomal RNA, 656 nt
Filed under: uncultured bacterium
Lineage: Bacteria
Description: bacterial SSU rRNA
Rfam family: Bacterial small subunit ribosomal RNA
Source: RNAcentral